UCCUCGUUAACCGAGGCAGUCUCGUAUGAGAAGUACAACAUACGACGAGGGUUGCGUUCGUUGCGGGACUUAACCCAACAUCUCACGACACGAACUGACGACGGCCAUGCAGCGCCUGUCACCGGUCCAGCAAACUGACUCCCGUGUUUCCACGGGAUACGACCGGGAUGUCAAACCUGGGUAAGGUUCUCCGCUUAUCGUCGAAUUAAACCACACGCUCCACCGCUUGUGCGGGUCCCCGUCAAUUCCUUUGAGUUUUAAGCUUGCGCUCGUACUCCCCAGGCGGGUUGCUUAACGCGUUAGCUUCGAUACCCAGAGGAUCUAUGCUCCAGAUACCUAGCACCCAUCGUUUACGGCGUGGACUAC
Molecule: unclassified non-coding RNA, 366 nt
Filed under: uncultured bacterium
Lineage: Bacteria
Description: contains 16S-23S intergenic spacer region
Source: RNAcentral